CCUACGGGAGACAGCAGUAGGGAAUAUUGCUCAAUGGGGGAAACCCUGAAGCAGCAACGCCGCGUGGAGGAUGAAGGUUUUAGGAUUGUAAACCCCUUUUGUUAGAGAAGAUAAUGACGGUAUCUAACGAAUAAGCACCGGCUAACUCCGUGCCAGCAGCCGCGGUAAUACGGAGGGUGCAAGCGUUACUCGGAAUCACUGGGGGUAAAGAGCGCGUAGGCGGGAUAGCAAGUCAGAUGUGAAAUCCUAGGGCUUAACCAUAGAACUGCAUUUGAAACUGUUAGUCUAGAGUAUGGGAGAGGUAGGUGGAAUUCUUGGUGUAGGGGUAAAAUCCGUAGAGAUCAAGAGGAAUACUCAUGGCGAAGGCGACCUGCUAGAACAUAACUGACGCUGAGGCGCGAAAGCGUGGGGAGCAAACAGGAUUAGAUACCCGUGUAGUC
Molecule: ribosomal RNA, 440 nt
Filed under: uncultured bacterium
Lineage: Bacteria
Description: partial 16S ribosomal RNA
Rfam family: Bacterial small subunit ribosomal RNA
Source: RNAcentral